AGAGUUUGAUCCUGGCUCAGGAUGAACGCUAGCGGCAGGCCUAACACAUGCAAGUCGAGGGGCAUCACGAGUAAUGCUUGCAUUACUUGGUGGCGACCGGCGCACGGGUGCGUAACGCGUAUGCAACCUACCUAUUACAAGGGGAUAAUCUGAAGAAAUUUGGUUUAAUACCUUAUAUUAUAUAUAUAGGCAUCUAUAUUUAUUAAAAUUUACGGAGGUAAUAGAUGGGCAUGCGUGACAUUAGCUAGAUGGUAAGGUAACGGCUUACCAUGGCAACGAUGUCUAGGGGAACUGCGAGGUUAAUCCCCCACACUGGUACUGAGACACGGACCAGACUCCUACGGGAGGCAGCAGUGAGGAAUAUUGGUCAAUGGACGGAAGUCUGAACCAGCCAUGCCGCGUGCAGGAUGACGGCUCUAUGAGUUGUAAACUGCUUUUAUAAGAGAGUAAAACUAGGUACGUGUACCUACUUGCGAUUAUCUUAUGAAUAAGGAUCGGCUAACUCCGUGCCAGCAGCCGCGGUAAUACGGAGGAUCCGAGCGUUAUCCGGAUUUAUUGGGUUUAAAGGGUGCGUAGGUUGCAUAAUAAGUCAGUGGUUAAAUACCAUAUCUCAACUAUGGGAGUGCCAAUGAAACUAUUAAGCUAGAGAAUGGGUGCAGCAGGCGGAAUGUGUAAUGUAGCGGUGAAAUGCAUAGAUAUUACACAGAACACCGAUUGCGAAGGCAGCUUGCUAAUCCAUAUCUGACACUGAUGCACGAAAGCGUGGGGAUCAAACAGGAUUAGAUACCCUGGUAGUCCACGCCGUAAACGAUGAUAACUUGUUGUAGGAUAUAUUGAAUAUUCUGUAACUAAGGGAAACCGAUAAGUUAUCCACCUGGGGAGUACGACCGCAAGGUUGAAACUCAAAGGAAUUGACGGGGGCCCGCACAAGCGGAGGAACAUGUGGUUAAUUCGAAGCAACGCGAAGAACCUUACCUAAACUUGACAUCCUUAUGACCGAGACUUAAUCGUCUUUUUACUAGCUUGCUAGUACAUAAGUGACAGGUGGUGCAUGGUUGUCGUCAGCUCGUGUCGUGAGAUGUUGGGUUAAGUCCCGCAACGAGCGCAACCCCUAUCUUUAGUAGCCAUCAUUAAGUUGGGCACUCUGGAGAGACUGCCAAGGAUAACUUGGAGGAAGGUGGGGAUGACGUCAAAUCAUCAUGCCCCUUAUGUUUAGGGCUACACACGUGCUACAAUGGCUGCUACAAAGGGAAGCAACGUCGCAAGGCCAAGCAAACCUCAAAAAAGCAGUCCCAGUUCGGACUGUGGUCUGCAACUCGACCGCAUGAAGUUGGAAUCGCUAGUAAUCGCGAAUCAGAAUGUCGCGGUGAAUACGUUCCCGGGUCUUGUACACACCGCCCGUCACACCAUGGGAGUUGGGGGGGCCCAACGCCGGUGACCCAACCCGUAAGGGAGGGAGCCGUCUAAGGCAAAACCAAUAACUGGGGUGAAGUCGUAACAAGGUAACCGUAA
Molecule: ribosomal RNA, 1512 nt
Filed under: uncultured bacterium
Lineage: Bacteria
Description: bacterial SSU rRNA
Rfam family: Bacterial small subunit ribosomal RNA
Source: RNAcentral